CUUGAGGCGGGUCCCAAGGAGGGGCGGGACCAUAAAUAAAGGGGGCGGGGUCCCAGGAGAAAGGGUUAUUGGCUGGGGGCGGGGGCAGAGACGCGACCACAAGUGGGCGGUCCCAAAACUGGGGCGAGGCCACAAAAGGGGCAGAACAAGAGGCGGGCUACUCGCCGAGGUGGGGGGCGUAGGGAGGCCUCCCGGGUUGACGAGGCGGGGCAGGGCCACAAUGGGGAGGAGAGGAGACGGGUCAUUGGCUCGGGGCGUGGCCUGGGGCUGUUCCUGGGCGUGGCAGAGGCAAGCCCUGGGGCGGGCCGGAGUCGUAGAUGGGUGGGUGGGGAAAGGCAGGUCCCUGGCGUGUCGAGGGCGUGGCGUAGGCUGGGACAUUGAAAAAGGGAGGCGGGCCACAAGUGGGCGGGGAAGGGCGAGCCUCUAGAGGGAAAGAGGUCAGGGGCUUGGCUUGGACGCGUCCCAGGGCUAUGGGUAGGGCUGGCGGUUGGAGGGAGGGUGGAUAACUAGCCGUGGGCGUGGCUUGUGGCGGGGUGGGGCGGGGGGGGGGUAGGCCACAGGUGGAGAGGGGACGGGUCACUAGCCUGGGGGUGGCCUGGUUGGUCUUGGGCGUAGAAUGGGCCGAGUGGACCUGGCUGGACUUGGACCCUCCCUGGGCUGGCGCCCUUCCCCCUCCUCUCCCCGCGGGGCUUGGAAGGGCUUGGCCUGCCGGGAGAGCAAAGCCGACAGUCUCCUGUCCUGUCCCUCUCGAGUCCCGGCCCUGGGCAAGCCUUGGGCAAGCCUGCCCAGCACCUGUCUGGGCUCCUCACCAGGUGCGCCUUCUUUCCUGCCCACUGAGGAAUCCAUGUGCCAGUCUGCGGGUCCGAAUACCCAGGUGACCAAGACUGUCUGAAGAGCUACCAGGCUGUCCUCAGAAGACACGAUGUCUCAGGUGUUUUUGUUUUAUUACCCUUUCUCCAGACUUCCUGGGCUUCGUUCAUUGUGCUUUGUUCGUAUUAGGGUCAUUUUCGUGAAGCUGACCCUUCUGUCUCAUCUGUGCAUUUGGGGCCUAUCCUUAGCAAGAUUAUUUCUUCCAGUGCAGCAUCACACAGCACGAGCGGUCACAGGCACCGCAGUGACCUCCGAUGGCCCAGGAGUGACCCCAGUUCCUGCCAGCCCUGGGAGGAAAAAAGCAGCUCGUCUCAUGCCCCCGCCCUUGACACACGAGACAAUCCACGUCUGCUGGCAUAUUAUCAUACGUUAGCAGAUCUCUGAGAGCCAAACUGCAGACCACAGCAGCUGGGCCGGGGCCUGGAGCGGGCCCGGGAUCCUCCCCCUGGAUGGGACCAGCCUGCCUCGAAUUCCCCACACACUGUGUUCCAGGCACUUCCCCCUUCAUUAGCACUGUGUGUGCCAUUCACCACCCUCUCCAUCGCUGUCACCGCGGUCCUUCCCGUGAGAAGUGCACCCAGGGGCCUGCAUUUAUAAAUAAGUCCGUGGUGUUUGUUGGAGGAUGACGGGAGCAGAGAGAGCAGCCUUGGAAUUAUCAUCCGCUUGGAAUGAUGUCAGAUCAAGCCCUGGGAAGCCUUAUGCUGCCCAGCCUUCCUGACUGUCUCACACACACACACACACACACACACACACACCCCAGAGAGUAGGGGCUGGUGGCCAUGUUAUCUCCGGCUGGAGCGUGGGGUCGGGGCAGGGAG
This 1688-nucleotide long non-coding RNA is filed under the name Felis catus (domestic cat). RNAcentral's name for it is "lncRNA (ENSFCAG00000048361.1)". The record is from RNAcentral. Lineage: Eukaryota; Metazoa; Chordata; Mammalia; Carnivora; Felidae.